UAAAAAAAAUCUAUCUCUCAGUUUUGAAAGGUUUUGGGUGAAAGUGUUUUACUACACUCGGAAAGUUACUAAAUGAACUGCAAGUUGUGUGUAGUAUCCUACCUAAACGCUUGUUUCGCUCGACAUUUAGCGAUAAAUCUAUGUCUCCUAAAAAUCUUGAUGAACACGUUUCAAUUCUUACUAGUAUGAAAGACAACUUGCAAUCACAACGGACUCUCAACGCGUCUAAAGCUCUUUUACUUUCCACCGUGUUGGGAUACAUAAAAGUAAAGUCAAAAUUAAGUAUCAAAGACAAAGCCCUUUUCAAUUUCUACUAAAGUAGUUUUUUCGACAGUUAGCGUGGCAGGAAGAAAUAUAUGUGAACUCGGUCUUCCUUUCCAUGUUGCCAUUGUAGAUGAAGCCACGCCAGUUCUUGAGCCUGAAAUAGCUAUAAUUUUAUCUCAGUGUUACCUUAAGUCCCUGGUUUUAGUAGGUAUGCCACGCAUUAAAGUAACUGAUGAGAUUACAGUGAAAGUGGUUACUCUCAAAUGCUUUCUUUUGUUAUUUUUUUACAUGCAUGAUUAGGCAAUGAGGAUCAGUUGCCGCCACUUGUAUUUUCUAAUAAACUUAAAAGUCUUGACUACCUUGGCAUGUUCCAAAGACUUAUUUUACUCGGCUAUCCUUGUUCCCGCCUCGGCGUCCAGAACCGUAUGCACCCAAAAAUAAGCAAAUGGCCGUGCAAGACUUUUUACAAAGGUAAAUUAAAGGUAAAAUUCUAUAUUAUUAAAUACUGAGUUUUUAUUAUUAAUUUAAAUAUGAGAAGAUGGCGUAAUUGUUCUCUCAGGCCUGUAUUUAAGUCUAUCAAACAAUAAGAUUCGAAAUAUUAUGGUCUACAAUAUGGAGCUUAGUAGUCCCGAGACGGUU
Long non-coding RNA from Zophobas morio, 903 nucleotides. RefSeq lists it as uncharacterized. The transcript is spliced from 3 exons. NCBI's taxonomy places the organism in Eukaryota, Metazoa, Arthropoda, Insecta, Coleoptera, Tenebrionidae. The record is from RefSeq and is a predicted model, not a curated record.